GGAUGAACGCUAGCGGCAGGCUUAACACAUGCAAGUCGAGGGGCAACAGAGAUAGCAAUAUUUGCUGGCGACCGGCGCACGGGUGAGUAACGCGUAUGCAACCUACCUUUUACAAAGGGAUAGCCCAUGGAAACGUGGAUUAAUACCUUAUAAUACUGAUUGAUGGCAUCAUUAAUUAGUUAAAACUUCGUCGGAAUAAGCUGGGCAUGCGUGCCAUUAGCUUGUUGGUAGGGUAACGGCCUACCAAGGCAACGAUGGCUAGGGGUUCUAAAAGGAUGAUCCCCCACACUGGUACUGAGACACGGACCAGACUCCUACGCGAGGCAGCAGUGAGGAAUAUUGGUCAAUGGUCGAGAGACUGAACCAGCCAUGCCGCGUGUAGGAUGACUGCCCUAAGGGUUGUAAACUACUUUUGUAUAGGAAGAAACCCUUCUACGUGUAGAAGGCUGACUGUACUUUACGAAUAAGCACCGGCUAACUCCGUGCCAGCAGCCGCGGUAAUACGGAGGAUGCAGGCGUUAUCCGGAUUUAUUAGGUUUAAAGGGUGCGUAGGCGGGAUUAUAAGUCAGUUGUGAAAUCCUGCAGCUUAACUGUAGAACUGCCAUUGAUACUAAAGGCCUUGAGUAUAGUUGAGGUAGGCGGAAUGUGUAAUGUAGCGGUGAAAUGCUUAGAUAUUACACAGAACACCGAUUGCGUAGGCAGCUUACUAAGCUAUAACUGACGCUGAUGCACGAAAGCGUGGGGAGCGAACAGGAUUAGAUACCCUGGUAGUCCACGCCGUAAACGAUGAUCACUCGUUGUUGGCAAUACACCGUCAGCGACUGAGCGAAAGCAUUAAGUGAUCCACCUGGGGAGUACGGUCGCAAGCUUGAAACCCAAAGGAAUUGACGGGGGCCCGCACAAGCGGAGGAACAUGUGGUUUAAUUCGAUCAUACACGAGGAACCUUACCUGGGCUUAAAUGUAGAGUGCAUAAACGGGAAACUGUUUUUUCCUUCGGGACUCUUUACAAGGUGCUGCAUGGUUGUCGUCAGCUCGUGCCGUGAGGUGUCGGGUUAAGUCCCAUAACGAGCGCAACCCCUAUUCUUAGUUGCCAGCGGGUAAUGCCGGGGACUCUAAGGAGACUGCCAGUGUAAACUGUGAGGAAGGUGGGGAUGACGUCAAAUCAGCACGGCCCUUAUGUCCAGGGCUACACACGUGUUACAAUGGCCGAUACAAAGGGCAGCUACCUGGUGACAGGAUGCUAAUCUCCAAAGUCGGUCUCAGUUCGGAUCGGAGUCUGCAACUCGACUCCGUGAAGUUGGAUUCGCUAGUAAUCGUAUAUCAGCAAUGAUACGGUGAAUACGUUCCCGGGCC
Molecule: ribosomal RNA, 1354 nt
Filed under: uncultured prokaryote
Description: partial 16S ribosomal RNA
Rfam family: Bacterial small subunit ribosomal RNA
Source: RNAcentral